This 2986-nucleotide long non-coding RNA is filed under the name Homo sapiens (human). Its description in RNAcentral is "HSALNT0279735". The record is from RNAcentral. Lineage: Eukaryota; Metazoa; Chordata; Mammalia; Primates; Hominidae.
UACAGUGUAUCCUGAAAGCCUGAGUUCAGGCGCAGAGAUGAACUUGGCUGUUACAUCUAAAGAGGAAUUUCCAUCCUAAAAAGGAAAGUGCUCUGAUGCAAAGACCCUGUUACUUUAAUGCUGUGCUUUUAGACAAGUUGGGAAGGGAACUCCUAAGUGUCUGGUACUAGCCACUGGUCACCCAGUUAGAAAAUGUGCCUGCAGGAUUCAAACCCAAUUAGCUUUCCACAAGUGCCAAAAAACUCUUGCCAGCUUCCUGGUCUCUGCACAGAAUUGUGGCUGACAGACAGGGAACAUAAAUCACGACAUUUUAUUCAAAGACAAUAAAUGCACCAACUCAACUAACACAACCUGAAGACAAGCCAGAAUAACUCUAGAAGGAGAAAAAGGUAACAUCUGAACAUGUCCUCAGCUGAGGUGUUCCUGUAAGAGACAGAAGACGAGACACAGAUAAAGAAGAGAAGUCCUCAUGGAGAUGGAGGCAGGACUGGAGUGAUGCGGCCACAAGCCCAGGGAAGCCUGAAGUCCCCCAGAAAUGGGAGAGGCAGGAAGGAUUCUCCCCUAGAGCCUCCAAAGGGAGCACCACCCGGAGACACCUUGAUUUCAGAUUUCUGGUGCCCAGAAAUGGUAGAGAAUAAAUUUCUGUUGUUUAAGCCUCCCGGUCUGUGACACUUUUGCUACAGCAGCCCCAGAAAACUCAAACACAACACUCUGUGUGUGUGCUCCUACAGUAACUUCCAUAUACCUCUCAUGGGAGAGGAAGGGGAUUAUUCUUCCAACAAGAUGGAGACUUGCACACAUGCCUUGUAGACACAGAGGAAGCAAAAAGCACAGAAAAGUACUCAGAGGCUUCGCAGACACGUGGGAGACCCUCCUCAGUUGGUAAAACGCCACAGCAAUACCUUACAAUGGGCACAGAACUGUAACAUAAGGAGUGAUCUUCUUUUCUGAGGAGCCAAGGCUAAGAAAACUGAUUCUCGCUGAAAAAGAAAGCAUUUCCAAUGCACACCAGACAUAAAUAAUUCAUGCAAACCAACAUGAAUUAUUUUAGUACGUGGCUUUCAUAAAGUAACUUCUUUGUCUUCAUUAUAUAACCCCUAAAACUUCUCAAAGACUACUCUCAGACUUGUUAAAGCUGAAAAAGCUUAACUAUACAUAUAAACACUGUCAUAUAUCAAAGGCAUAUUUCACCUUACAAAGCAUGCUCACUAGGGCUUUGCUCACGAGACACCAAAAACACGUUCAGUUGCACUUCACCCUGAAAGCAGAAUCUCUUAUCCCUGAAUCAGAAGGGACGUAGGCACACGAAGUCCCAGGGAGAAAAGAGGCAUAUAUAUCGUGCUGAGUUAACAAGAUUUGGCACUUGUCUUUUUCACAGGAAAAGAAGGAACAUGAAAGAUAAGGAUUUUGGCAGUCUCACUAAUUUUUAUAUGGGACGCGGGAUGGGAGAUGAACCCUACCGGAGAUGAUUAUAAAUACCAGUUUGUCUUUGAAACCAGUUUUACGAAUUAAUGCAAUGCCUUAUUUCUUUCUUCUGGAGGAGUCUGUGGUCUCCUUUCAUCCUCAGAUUCUUCGUAGAAGAAAACUGCUCAGAUGUCCUGAGCAAAAUGAUCAAAUUCCAAAACCCAGGGUUUAAGAAAGCAGACAGAAAGCCACAGAGAGGGGAAGUGGUUAAAGAGAGGGGACAUUCCAAAAAGACAGCCACUUAGCACAAACAAUUCAAAUUCCAGUGUUGUUGGUGCCAGAAUCCUUUUCACUGUUGGUGAUGGGAUUUUGAGAAAAGUGUUUCAAAUAGAAGAAUUUGAGGUGUCUUAAAAAUGGGUUUCCAAAGAAAGUGGAGGAGGCGUGAAAAGAUUCCAUUAUCCAGUUGAGAUCGUCAAGUAUCCUGCUGAUCUAUGUGCGGGUCUGGAUACACACAGCCUUCAGGAACUUGGGCACAAACAAAAUCUACUGUGAUGGUUAACACUGAGUGUCAACUGGACUGAUUGAAGGAUGCAAAGUACUGUUCCUGGGUGUGCCUGUGAGGGUGUUGCCAAAGGAGGUGAACAUUUGAGUCAGUGAACUGGGAGAGGCAGACCCACCCUCAGUCUAAGUGGGCACUGUCUCAUCAGCUGCCAGCACAGGUAGGAUAAAGCAGGUAGGAGAAGAUGGAAAAGCAGACUUGCUUAGUCUUCUGGCCUUUAUCUUUCUCCUGUGCUGGAUGCUUCCUGCCCUCGAACAUCAGACUCCAAGUUCUUGGACUUACACCAGUGGUUUGCCAGAGCCUCUCGGGCCUUCGGCCACAGACAGACAGCUGCACUGUUGGCUUCCCUACUUCUGAGGUUUUGGGACUCAGACUGGUUUCCUUGCUCCUCAGCUUGCAGAAGACCUGUUGUGGGACUUCAUUUUGUGAUUGUGGGUCAUUGGGCCACAUCCAGGAAGAACUACCAGAGAAAUCAGCCCAGGCUCAGUCAGCUACAAGUCCCAGGACUGUGGAAGCCAGGGGUCUCCAGAGACAGAGCACCCCACAUCUGAAAGGGCUGAGACACACAGCCCUUGGCCGCUCUAGGAUUCAGUGAUUCCCAACGCGUAUCCUGAAACUCUGAUAAAACAAUGUGCCUCUGUCUCCUGAGUGAAACCGUUUAUGGAGUUAAGUUUACCAGCAUCUGUUUAUUUGGCUACACUGUGAAUGUUAAACAGUUUUUAGAGGUUAUCUGAAUAACUGGCACAGGUGAAAUAAAAUGAAAUAAAAUGUUGUGUUUCCCUCCUUGUGUGCUGGGUUAACUCUUUUGGGAUAUAACAAAGCUUUGAUAUGCCAGCUUUAUAGAUGAUUGAUACUGUGUGCUUGGGUCUUAUUAGCAAUUAAUUACAUCAUUCAUUCAUUCAUUCAUUCAUCAAUUCACCCAUUCAACAGAUGCCUACCCAAAGGUCUUCACAUGCCCAGAAUUUUCCUGGUCACUGGUCAUAACAACAGAGACCUUAUGGAUUUUACAGAGCAGCAAAAGAG